Ictidomys tridecemlineatus (thirteen-lined ground squirrel) is the source of this 72-nucleotide non-coding RNA. The record is from Rfam. Lineage: Eukaryota; Metazoa; Chordata; Mammalia; Rodentia; Sciuridae.
UUGGGGAUAGCUCAGUUGGUAGAGUGCUUGCGUAGCAUGCAUGGGGCCCUGGGUUCAAUCCCCAGCACCAAU